ACCUACGGGGCGCAGCAGUGGGGAAUAUUGCACAAUGGGGGAAACCCUGAUCCAGCGACGCCGCGUGAGUGAAGAAGUAUUUCGGUAUGUAAAGCUCUAUCAGCAGGGAAGAAAAUGACGGUACCUGACUAAGAAGCCCCGGCUAACUACGUGCCAGCAGCCGCGGUAAUACGUAGGGGGCAAGCGUUAUCCGGAUUUACUGGGUGUAAAGGGAGCGUAGACGGCAUUGCAAGUCUGAUGUGAAAUAUUGGGGCUCAACCCCAGGCCUGCAUUGGAAACUGUAAAGCUGGAG
Molecule: ribosomal RNA, 292 nt
Filed under: uncultured bacterium
Lineage: Bacteria
Description: partial 16S ribosomal RNA
Rfam family: Bacterial small subunit ribosomal RNA
Source: RNAcentral